Molecule: long non-coding RNA, 541 nt
Organism: Esox lucius (northern pike)
Lineage: Eukaryota; Metazoa; Chordata; Actinopteri; Esociformes; Esocidae
Exons: 3
Source: RefSeq, a predicted model, not a curated record
UCAGAACAGGAAAGUCCUUCUAUUGCUGACAGCAAAAGGACAACUAACUCAUUUUGGGCUCAUCUUCUGUAUUCAGUAUUGUCCAUUGGAAAAUAAUUUACAACCUGGCACAGAAUAGAACAAUUGCCCAAAAUCUUCACUUUUCUACCAAACAAACAAUGAAGGGCUUCAGUGUUGCAGUUACAGUGGUGGUGGUUGUAGUAUGCAUCUGCAUCCAUGAAAGCACAGCUGAGGAGGGACCUUUUUACGAUCAGCGUGUGGAACUGGAAGAAGACGGCAGCGGAUUCAUGGAUGAGCACGUGGAUCCGAGAAUCCAGCGUUCAAGCAAAAGUUGCUCUUGGUGCUGGAACUGCUGCCACAAAAAGGGGUGGACUUACUGUUGCAAUAAAUGAGUACAUCACCAGGACCAAAACCAUCCUAUUGAAUCAAUGCCACUUUCCACUCUUUCCUAUGUAGCUAUGAUAAUGAUUUGUUCAAUCCCCAUUAACAAUGCUUUUUCUGCAAUUCAUUCUGCAAUUCAAUAAAUUCUUUGAAUAACAAA